Molecule: ribosomal RNA, 515 nt
Filed under: uncultured bacterium
Lineage: Bacteria
Description: bacterial SSU rRNA
Rfam family: Bacterial small subunit ribosomal RNA
Source: RNAcentral
GACGAACGCUGGCGGCGUGCCUAACACAUGCAAGUCGAACGGAGAUACUUUUGAAGCUUGCGAUAAAGUAUCUUAGUGGCGGACGGGUGAGUAACGCGUGGGUAAUCUGCCCAUAAGUGGGGAACAACAGUUGGAAACGACUGCUAAUACCGCAUAAUCUGCCUUAGGGUAGGAAAGGUGGCCUCUUAACAAUGCUGCCGCUUAUGGAUGAGCCCGCGUCUGAUUAGCUAGUUGGUGGGGUAAAGGCCUACCAAGGCGACGAUCAGUAGCCGGCCUGAGAGGGUGAACGGCCACACUGGGACUGAGACACGGCCCAGACUCCUACGGGAGGCAGCAGUGGGGAAUAUUGCGCAAUGGGGGAAACCCUGACGCAGCGACGCCGCGUGAGCGAAGAAGGCCUUAGGGUUGUAAAGCUCUGUUUUAGGGGACGAAUGUUUAUAGGAGUAAUAUGCCUGUGAAAUGACGGUACCCUAAGAGGAAGCCCCGGCUAACUACGUGCCAGCAGCCGCGGUAAA